GAAUGGCACAAUGGCUCAGUGUGUCUGACUGUUAACCAGAAGGUUGGUGGUUUGAGCCAACCAAGGGACA
Molecule: transfer RNA, 70 nt
Filed under: Podarcis lilfordi (Lilford's wall lizard)
Lineage: Eukaryota; Metazoa; Chordata; Lepidosauria; Squamata; Lacertidae
Description: tRNA.Asn
Source: RNAcentral